AUAAUGAAUGAAAGGGACAAGGAGAUAUAAUGAAUGAAGAGAGAUGAUGAAGGAGAGAAGUAGAGAUAGGGUUGGGAGAUAAUGAAUGAAUGGGAUGAGGAGAUAUAAUGAAUGAAGAGACAUGCUGAAGGAGAGAAGUAGAGAUAGGGUAGAGAGAUAAUGAAUGAAAUGGAUGAGGAGAGAUAAUGAAUAAAGAGACAUGAUGAAAGAGAGAAGUAGAGAUAGGUUUGAGAGAUAAUGAAUGAAAUGGAUGAGGAGAGAUAAUGAAUGAAGAGACAUGAUGAAGGAGAGAAGUAGAGAUAGGGUUGAGAGAUAAUGAAUGAAAUGGAUGAGGAGAGAUAAUGAAUAAAGAGACAUGAUGAAAGAGAGAAGUAGAGAUAGUUUUGAGAGAUAAUGAAUUAAAUGGAUGAGGAGAGAUAAUGAAUGAAGAGACAUGAUGAAGGAGAGAAGUAGAGAUAGGUUUGAGAGAUAAUAAAUGAAAGGGAUGAGGAGAGAUAAUGAAUGAAGAGAGCUGAUGAAGGAGAGAAGUAGAGGUAGAGUUGAGAGAUAAUGAAUGAAAGGGACAAGGAGAUAUAAUGAAUGAAGAGAGAUGAUGAAGGAGAGAAGUAGAGAUAGGGUUGGGAGAUAAUGAAUGAAUGGGAUGAGGAGAUAUAAUGAAUGAAGAGACAUGAUGAAGGAGAGAAGUAGAGAUAGGGUUGGGAGAUAAUGAAUGAAAUGGAUGAGGAGAGAUAAUGAAUGAAGAGACAUGAUGAAGGAGGGAAGUAGAGAUAGGUUUGAGAGAUAAUGAAUGAAAUGGAUGAGGAGAGAUAAUGAAUGAAGAGACAUGAUGAAGGAGAGAAGUAGAGAUAGGGUUGAGAGAUAAUGAAUGAAGAGAAGUAGAGAUAUGGUUGAGAGAUAAUAAAUGAAAGGGAUGAGGAGAGAUAAUGAAUGAAGAGAGCUGAUGAAGGAGAGAAGUAGAGAUAGGGUUGAGAGAUAAUAAAUUAAAGGGAUGAGGAGAGAUAAUGAAUGAAGAGAUAUGAUGAAGGAGAGAAGUAGAGAUAGGGUUGGGAUAUAAUGAAUGAAUGGGAUGAGGAGAUAUAAUGAAUGAAGAGACAUGAUGAAGGAGAGAAGUAGAGAUAGGGUUGGGAGAUAAUGAAUGAAUGGGAUGAGGAGAUAUAAUGAAUGAAGAGACAUGCUGAAGGAGAGAAGUAGAGAUAGGGUUGAGAGAUAAUGAAUGAAAUGGAUGAGGAGAGAUAAUGAAUAAAGAGACAUGAUGAAAGAGAGAAGUAGAGAUAGUUUUGAGAGAUAAUGAAUUAAAUGGAUGAGGAGAGAUAAUGAAUGAAGAGACAUGAUGAAGGAGAGAAGUAGAGAUAGGUUUGAGAGAUAAUAAAUGAAAGGGAUGAGGAGAGAUAAUGAAUGAAGAGAGCUGAUGAAGGAGAGAAGUAGAGGUAGAGUUGAGAGAUAAUGAAUGAAAGGGACAAGGAGAUAUAAUGAAUGAAGAGAGAUGAUGAAGGAGAGAAGUAGAGAUAGGGUUGGGAGAUAAUGAAUGAAUGGGAUGAGGAGAUAUAAUGAAUGAAGAGACAUGCUGAAGGAGAGAAGUAGAGAUAGGGUUGAGAGAUAAUGAAUGAAAUGGAUGAGGAGAGAUAAUGAAUAAAGAGACAUGAUGAAAGAGAGAAGUAGAGAUAGUUUUGAGAGAUAAUGAAUUAAAUGGAUGAGGAGAGAUAAUGAAUGAAGAGACAUGAUGAAGGAGAGAAGUAGAGAUAGGUUUGAGAGAUAAUAAAUGAAAGGGAUGAGGAGAGAUAAUGAAUGAAGAGAGCUGAUGAAGGAGAGAAGUAGAGGUAGAGUUGAGAGAUAAUGAAUGAAAGGGACAAGGAGAUAUAAUGAAUGAAGAGAGAUGAUGAAGGAGAGAAGUAGAGAUAGGGUUGGGAGAUAAUGAAUGAAUGGGAUGAGGAGAUAUAAUGAAUGAAGAGACAUGCUGAAGGAGAGAAGUAGAGAUAGGGUUGAGAGAUAAUGAAUGAAAUGGAUGAGGAGAGAUAAUGAAUAAAGAGACAUGAUGAAAGAGAGAAGUAGAGAUAGGUUUGAGAGAUAAUGAAUGAAAUGGAUGAGGAGAGAUAAUGAAUGAAGAGACAUGAUGAAGGAGAGAAGUAAAGAUAGUUUUGAGAGAUAAUGAAUUAAAUGGAUGAGGAGAGAUAAUGAAUGAAGAGACAUGAUGAAGGAGAGAAGUAAAGAUAGGUUUGAGAGAUAAUAAAUGAAAGGGAUGAGGAGAGAUAAUGAAUGAAGAGAGCUGAUGAAGGAGAGAAGUAGAGGUAGAGUUGAGAGAUAAUGAAUGAAAGGGACAAGGAGAUAUAAUGAAUGAAGAGAGAUGAUGAAGGAGAGAAGUAGAGAUAGGGUUGGGAGAUAAUGAAUGAAUGGGAUGAGGAGAUAUAAUGAAUGAAGAGACAUGAUGAAGGAGAGAAGUAGAGAUAGGGUUGGGAGAUAAUGAAUGAAUGGGAUGAGGAGAUAUAAUGAAUGAAG
This is a long non-coding RNA of Oncorhynchus keta (chum salmon), 2493 nucleotides long. RefSeq lists it as uncharacterized. The record is from RefSeq and is a predicted model, not a curated record. NCBI's taxonomy places the organism in Eukaryota, Metazoa, Chordata, Actinopteri, Salmoniformes, Salmonidae. The transcript has 3 exons.